This 440-nucleotide ribosomal RNA is filed under the name uncultured bacterium. RNAcentral describes it as "partial 16S ribosomal RNA". It matches the Rfam family "Bacterial small subunit ribosomal RNA", at positions 338 to 795 of the family's 1533-position model. The record is from RNAcentral.
CCUACGGGGGGCAGCAGUAGGGAAUAUUGCUCAAUGGGGGAAACCCUGAAGCAGCAACGCCGCGUGGAGGAUGAAGGUUUUCGGAUUGUAAACUCCUUUUGUUAGAGAAGAUAAUGACGGUAUCUAACGAAUAAGCACCGGCCAACUCCGUGCCAGCAGCCGUGGUUAUACGGAGGGUGCAAGCGUUACUCGGAAUCACUGGGCGUAAAGAGGGAGUAGGCGGGAUAGAAAGUCAGAUGUGAAAUGCUAUGGCUUAACCAUAGAACUGCAUUUGAAACUGGUAUUCUAGAGUAUGGGAGAGGUAGGUGGAAUUCUUGGUGUAGCGGUGAAAUGCGUAGAGAUCAAGAGGAAUACUGAUUGCGAAGGCGGCCUACUAGAACAUAACUGACGCUGAUGCGCGAAAGCGUGGGGAGCAAACAGGAUUAGAUACCCGAGUAGUC